Molecule: ribosomal RNA, 629 nt
Filed under: Silvibacterium bohemicum
Lineage: Bacteria; Pseudomonadati; Acidobacteriota; Terriglobia; Terriglobales; Acidobacteriaceae
Description: bacterial SSU rRNA
Rfam family: Bacterial small subunit ribosomal RNA
Source: RNAcentral
CCUGAGUAAAGUGGCGCACGGGUGAGUAACACGUGACUAACCUACCCUUGAGUGGGGAAUAACUUCGGGAAACCGAGGCUAAUACCGCAUAACACCUACGGGUCAAAGGAGCAAUUCGCUUAAGGAGGGGGUCGCGGCAGAUUAGCUAGUUGGCGGGGUAAUGGCCCACCAAGGCUAUGAUCUGUAUCCGGCCUGAGAGGGCGCACGGACACACUGGAACUGAAACACGGUCCAGACUCCUACGGGAGGCAGCAGUGGGGAAUUUUGCGCAAUGGGGGAAACCCUGACGCAGCAACGCCGCGUGGAGGAUGAAGUCUCUUGGGACGUAAACUCCUUUCGAUCGAGACGAUAAUGACGGUACCGAGAGAAGAAGCCCCGGCUAACUUCGUGCCAGCAGCCGCGGUAAUACGAGGGGGGCGAGCGUUGUUCGGAAUUAUUGGGCGUAAAGGGUGCGUAGGCGGUUCGGUAAGUCUUGUGUGAAAUCUUCGGGCUCAACUCGAAGUCUGCACGAGAAACUGCCGGGCUUGAGUGUGGGAGAGGUGAGUGGAAUUUCCGGUGUAGCGGUGAAAUGCGUAGAUAUCGGAAGGAACACCUGUGGCGAAAGCGGCUCACUGGACCACAACUGACGC